RNAcentral lists this unclassified non-coding RNA (328 nucleotides) under uncultured fungus. Its description in RNAcentral is "partial contains small subunit ribosomal RNA, internal transcribed spacer 1, and 5.8S ribosomal RNA". The stretch from base 1 to 73 matches the Rfam family "Eukaryotic small subunit ribosomal RNA", at positions 1759 to 1831 of the family's 1831-position model. Lineage: Eukaryota; Fungi. The record is from RNAcentral.
GCAAACUUGGUCAUUUAGAGGAAGUAAAAGUCGUAACAAGGUUUCCGUAGGUGAACCUGCGGAAGGAUCAUUAGAGUUAAAACGGAAUAUUGCAUUCUUACAACCCCUCCUGCGUAUCUGUAGCAGUUGCUUCCGCGGAUUUGUGUCCCUGCAGACGCAUACCGCUGGUGCCGUUCCCAUGGGGAGGCGUGGCGUCCGCGGGAGGUUUGCAUAAACUCUGAAUUGCUGGAAUCCGUCUGAAUGCAUGCAGAUGCGGAAUGAAAUCUGAACGCAUUUGAAAACUUUCAACAAUGGAUCUCUUGGUUCUCGCAUCGAUGAAGAACGCAGC